CCCUUAGACGUUCUGGGCCGCACGCGCGCUACACUGACACUGGCAACGAGCUUUCCUUUACCGAAAGGUAUGGGUAAUCUUUUGAAACUGUGUCGUGCUGGGGAUAGAUCCUUGCAAUUUUUGAUCUUAAACGAGGAAUUCCUAGUAAGCGCGAGUCAUCAACUCGCGUUGAUUACGUCCCUGCCCUUUGUACACACCGCCCGUCGCUACUACCGAUUGAAUGGCUUAGUGAGGCCUCAGGAUCCGCGCUUAAUGUGUGGAGAAUUUGGACAAACUACGUCAUUUAGAGGAAGUAAAAGUCGUAACA
This 307-nucleotide ribosomal RNA is filed under the name uncultured eukaryote. Its description in RNAcentral is "partial 18S ribosomal RNA". It matches the Rfam family "Eukaryotic small subunit ribosomal RNA", at positions 1470 to 1796 of the family's 1831-position model. The record is from RNAcentral.